CCUACGGGCGGCAGCAGUGGGGAAUAUUGCACAAUGGGGGAAACCCUGAUGCAGCGACGCCGCGUGAGCGAUGAAGUAUUUCGGUAUGUAAAGCUCUAUCAGCAGGGAAGAAAAUGACGGUACCUGACUAAGAAGCCCCGGCUAACUACGUGCCAGCAGCCGCGGUAAUACGUAGGGGGCAAGCGUUAUCCGGAUUUAUUGGGUUUAAAGGGUGCGUAGGCGGUCCGUUAAGUCAGCGGUAAAAUUGCGGGGCUCAACCCCGUCGAGCCGUUGAAACUGGCAGACUUGAGUUGGCGAGAAGUACGCGGAAUGCGCGGUGUAGCGGUGAAAUGCAUAGAUAUCGCGCAGAACUCCGAUUGCGAAGGCAGCGUACCGGCGCCAGACUGACGCUGAGGCACGAAAGCGUGGGGAUCGAACAGGAUUAGAUACCCCUGUAGUC
This 439-nucleotide ribosomal RNA is filed under the name uncultured bacterium. Its description in RNAcentral is "partial 16S ribosomal RNA". It matches the Rfam family "Bacterial small subunit ribosomal RNA", at positions 338 to 795 of the family's 1533-position model. The record is from RNAcentral.